CUGGGCGUAAGGUGCGCAGGCGGUUGUGCACAUCUGUGUUGAACCCCGGGCUUAACCUGGGAAUUGGCUUGGAGACUGCACGGCUUGAGUGCGGGAGAGGGAGGUGGAAUUCCUGGUGUAGCGGUGAAAUGCGUAGAGAUGUGGAGGAACACCGAUGGCGAAGGCACCCUCCUGGACUGGAACUGACGCUCAUGCGCGAAAGCGUGGGGAGCAAACAGGAUUAGAUACCCUGGUAGUCCACGCCCUAAACGAUGACCACUAGGUGUUGGGGGUUUCUUUCCUUUGUAAGCCAACUCACACGUGAUUUUUACCCCCCGGGGAGAACGGUCGCACGAUUUUAACUCUCAGGAGUUUGACGG
Molecule: ribosomal RNA, 359 nt
Filed under: uncultured bacterium
Lineage: Bacteria
Description: bacterial SSU rRNA
Rfam family: Bacterial small subunit ribosomal RNA
Source: RNAcentral